Molecule: non-coding RNA, 1032 nt
Organism: Paramisgurnus dabryanus
Lineage: Eukaryota; Metazoa; Chordata; Actinopteri; Cypriniformes; Cobitidae
Source: RefSeq, a predicted model, not a curated record
UUAAACCCCUGCUUUGUACUGGACGGAGGACGCGCGAUCUUUUGUCUUUUGGAGUUUUAUAUAACACAGUAAGAAGUCAUGUACCACACUUUGUCAACAAUAAAUGUUUCUGCAAUCUGGAUAAAGAAUAAUAUAUUACUGCCUCUUGCAGAACAGCCGACCGUACUCCAGACAGAGACAAAGACGUGAGGACAUCCAUUGCUUUUGUAAAGGAAUUUUAUACCCAAGAGUUAUAAAUGUUGUCUUUAUUGUUUGUCUUAAUCUUUUAUUUGACAUUUUAACAAUAUAAAGUUUACUUGUACUUGUUUUUUGUUUGUAGAAGUCAUGUACGACACUUUGUCAACAAUGCAUGUUGUUCCUGCAAUCUGGAUGAAGAAAACUUACUGCCUCUUGGGAAAACAGCAGACUGUACUCCAGACAGAGACAAAGACAUGAGGACAUCCAUUGCUUUUAAGUCCUGUACCAGACUAUGUUGUUCCAGCUGUCUGGGUAAAGACUGAUACAUUACUGCCUCUUGGAGAACAGCAAACCUUUCUCCAGACAGAGACAAAGACAUGGACAUCAAAACAGAAAAUUAAGUACUUGAUCUUGGAUUGUUUGGAGUGAACGCUGGCAAAUAAUGAACAGGAAAUGAAAAUGCUUGACCAAAACAAUUUUUGUACUUGGCUAUAAGAAGUCCUUUGUGUGCACAGACAUUACUGGAGAUUAAAGUUACUAAAUGUUGCUUUUUUUCUAGCUGGUGACAUAACAUUGUAUUAUUUUCAAAUGUAUUUAUCUAAUACACAUUUGCACAUCUGUAAACAUUCAUUUUAUAUCGCAUGUUUUUUAUAUUUAACCAAUUGUUGUAUAUUGCUUUCUGUUUUUAUUGCAUGUUUAUUGUUUAAAACAAUUAAGUUAAUGUUUCUCUGUUAGCUUUUAUGUUACUUUGGCUAUUUCUUUGCUUUUAUUUGAUCCUUCUACUGUUAUUUGUUUAUUUGGCAGAACAUUUGACAUUUCAUUUAUUUUGCUGUUACUGAAAUUAUUCUUGUCAGC